RNA transcript from Ostrea edulis (European flat oyster), 4059 nucleotides. It is a transcript of the gene named fibropellin-1-like, with no coding region annotated. The transcript has 10 exons. Lineage: Eukaryota; Metazoa; Mollusca; Bivalvia; Ostreida; Ostreidae. The record is from RefSeq and is a predicted model, not a curated record.
GACCAUGUGUGCCUCUCUAUUGUUUCUGCUGGCCCUACUUCCGGUUGUCUCGUCAUUAGUAAGCCCUGUCAGCGAGUAUGUACGUGUCCCGGAGAAGUUUAUCGCCCCAAUUCCCUCCCACUCUCUGAAAGUGGAGAAAGAUGUUAGCUUAGAGAUGUGUGCCGCCAAAUGCACGAUCUACUUCCGAACGCGGCAGUUUCCCUGUUAUGCGUUCGAGUACACCACCGGAAGUAAAAUGUGUGUCUACACCAAUAUGACAACAUUAUUGGUAAAAAACGGCUAUCUAGGCCUGCACGAAAACAGGGGUGUGGAUUUCUACGAAAGAUCAAAAGUCUCCUACAAAAAUCUCUUCCGUAAAAUCCCUAAUUCCGCACUAAGCGAGCAAAGCAGCUACUACCACAUUAAACAGAAUUCUAGCCUGGAGGAGUGCUCUUUCCACUGUGUGAUAAGCCACUCCCACACCUGCAUGUCAUUCUCUUAUAGCCACACCUCCGGCACGUGUGGACUUAGUAACAUGGUAUAUACAGGUCAAUCACACGGGGUCUCCUUGAUGCACACCACUCUCUAUGAUCAUUAUCAGUAUUUCAAUGCAUGGCCUUGUAACGCCACCCUUGCUUCUAACUACGCCCCUCACGCUAUAGCCUCUCUCAAGUACCCGUAUAUGGCCAUGUUGGAUCUCAACUGUCACGUGACCAUUCAGGCACCAGACGACAAUAAAAUAACCUUGACCUUCCCAACUGUCUAUUUCAAAUCGAGCGUUUGCUACCAGUCUGGGAGUGGGAUAACAGUGUAUGAUGGUUUGGACGAGAAAGCCCCGGUGAUUUCUAGAGUUUGCGCCGCCACGACGAACGCCUACACGGUGAAUUCUUCAUCCAGUAUUCUCCAUAUUAGAUUUCAAGCAAAACAGACGGCUAUGGCAUUUCAAGGAGUAUAUGAAUUCAAUGAACCAGAAAAACCUAGAAACCCGUGUGAAAACAACAACUGCAGAAACGGAGGAACUUGUCAACCAUUGGGCCUCGAUUACAACUGCGCAUGCGUCCCCGGAUUCACAGGGGUAUUCUGUGAAACGAAUGUGGACGAUUGCGCAAGCAGUCCAUGUUACUUUGGAGGGACAUGUGUCGACGGUGUGAAUGAUUAUUCCUGUAUCUGUGUGAAGAAUUUUACCGGAAGUCGUUGUGAGAGAUAUUUGGGGAUGUGCGCGAACAACCCAUGUAUACAUGGUAUCUGCUACACGACCGGAAGACAAAGCUACGCAUGUCAUUGCGAUCCGAAUUUCAUAGGGAAGAAUUGUGAUGUCCGAUUCCAUCCAUGCUUAAGGGCGCCAUGCAAACAUGGAUCUUGUGUUGAUUCCGGUAAUGACUAUCGCUGUGUCUGCGCUGCAGGCUUUACCGGGAAAGACUGUGACGUUCAAGACGAUAAUCCGUGUACACCAAAUCCAUGUGUUCGUGGAGAUUGUAUGAUAUAUGCGCCUAACCAUACCUAUGCCUGCAUCUGCGAAUCGGGUUUCACCGGAAAAUUAUGCAAUUACGUCAUCAAUCAUUGCGAAGGCGUAGAUUGUGGCUACGGUCAUUGCGUGUCUGAUCAAACUGGAUACAGGUGUCUUUGUGAUAAUCUGUACGACGGUGUCGAUUGUAGAAGGCCUCGCCUCUGCCAAAGCGUGGAUUGCGGAAACGGGACUUGCGUCAUGAACCAUACGUCACCACCUGGUGUUCACUGCAUGUGCGACCAAGGAUACGAUGGAGAGCGGUGUAAUCACAAAGCAAAUUCCUGCAAGAAUUCACCUUGUGUUCACGGCAGCUGUCAAGAUGGCGGAUAUAUCUGCGUCUGCGAUAAAGGAUAUGCAGGUCCACUCUGUGAUGAGGAAAUAAACCCGUGUCGUGACGCGGACUGUGGGUACGGAAUGUGUGAAGCCACUGCUAACUUCACCUACCGCUGCAUCUGCGCCCGUGGCUUCUCAGGGCCACAAUGUAAACAAACUGCAACAACCAAAGUUUCGGUUACACCAAAUCCUUGCCAGAACCACCCGUGCCAAAAUGGUGGAGUGUGUAAACCUCGGGGAAGUGGUCAGUAUGUGUGUCUGUGUGGCCAGACUGACGGGGUGUUCUACAGCGGGAGACACUGUGAGGAGUCCCACAAGUACUGCGAUUCCACUCCUUGUAGAUUUGGUAGAUGUGUACCGCACCAUGAUUCUUACAGGUGUGUUCUACAAGGAUCCAGUAAUGUAACAGCCGUGCCGAUCUCUUCAUCACCAGGUAACAUUUCUUAUUUACUCUUAUUGACUAUUAUUUGUCACUAGGUAACAUUUCUCAUUUACUAUUAUUGAUUAUUUACUAUUAUUCGUCACUAGGUAACAUUUCUUAUUUACUCUUAUUGACUAUUAUUUGUCACUAGGUAACAGUUCUCAUUUACUCUUAUUGACUAUUAUUCGUCACUAGGUAACAUUUCUCAUUUACUAUUAUUGAUUAUUUACUAUUAUUCGUCACUAGGUAACAUUUCUUAUUUACUCUUAUUGACUAUUAUUCGUCACUAGGUAACAGUUCUCAUUUACUAUUAUUGAUUAUUUACUAUUAUUCGUCACUAGGUAACAUUUCUUAUUUACUCUUAUUGACUAUUAUUCGUCACUAGGUAACAUUUCUUAUUUACUCUUAUUGACUAUUAUUCGUCACUAGGUAACAUUUCUUAUUUACUCUUAUUGACUAUUAUUUGUCACUAGGUAACAUUUCUUAUUUACUCUUAUUGACUAUUAUUCGUCACUAGGUAACAUUUCUUAUUUACUCUUAUUGACUAUUAUUCGUCACUAGGUAACAUUUCUUAUUUACUCUUAUUGACUAUUAUUUGUCACUAGGUAACAGUUCUCAUUUACUCUUAUUGACUAUUAUUCGUCACUAGGUAACAGUUCUCAUUUACUAUUAUUGAUUAUUUACUAUUAUUCGUCACUAGGUAACAUUUCUUAUUUACUCUUAUUGACUAUUAUUCGUCACUAGGUAACAGUUCUCAUUUACUAUUAUUGAUUAUUUACUAUUAUUCGUCACUAGGUAACAUUUCUUAUUUACUCUUAUUGACUAUUAUUCGUCACUAGGUAACAUUUCUUAUUUACUCUUAUUGACUAUUAUUCGUCACUAGGUAACAUUUCUUAUUUACUCUUAUUGACUAUUAUUUGUCACUAGGUAACAUUUCUUAUUUACUCUUAUUGACUAUUAUUCGUCACUAGGUAACAUUUCUUAUUUACUCUUAUUGCCUAUUAUUCGUCACUAGGUAACAUUUCUUAUUUACUCUUAUUGACUAUUAUUCGUCACUAGGUAACAUUUCUCAUUUACUCUUAUUGACUAUUAUUCGUCACUAGGUAACAAUUCUUAUUUAUUUUUAUUAAAAGAGAUAUUCAUUUAUUAUGUUUAUUAUAACAAUUGAUAAGAUAGUAGAAUACAGUUUUAGCUUUGAUAUAUAUAUAAUGUAUGUUUGCUCUCUCUCUCUCUCUCUCUCUCUCUCUCUCUCUCUCUCUCUGUGCAAGACUAUCGCGAAAUCGCGUGCGUGUUUUCAUGACAACAUGAGGUAAGUGAUAUUUACUAUCAUAUAUAUAUAUAUAUAUAUAUAUAUAUAUAUAUAUAUCUUAUUUACUCUUAUUGACUAUAUACUAUUGUUCUUCACUAGGUAACAUUUCUCAUUUACUUUUAUUGAUUACGUCACUAGGUAUUUACUAUAUAUAUACAUCAGUAUAUAUAUAUAUAUAUAUAUAUAUAUAUAUACAAGAUUUUUAAAUUUGAUAAAAGAUAAUUGAUUCCCAUGUUUUAUACGUGUAGUUGAUGAUUUUACUUUGUUUUUGAAAAAAAAAAAUUUCCUGCUGGAUAAACUUCUAAAUACACAAUGAUGUGUGAGGUCAGCGUGCGUUCUGGACGACCUUCAAGGCUGUAAAACGUUGAGUUGUGGAUUGGAGAGUCAAUAUUUCGGAGAUCCAACCUGUGGAUUUAAUUUGUAAUUUCAGUUGUUCACGAAUUCUACUCACAUAAGUUGUUUGUUAUUUUUGUUUCAUUGGAGAAGCAAUUAAAACCCUUUGUCCUUAUU